RNAcentral lists this ribosomal RNA (253 nucleotides) under uncultured bacterium. RNAcentral describes it as "partial 16S ribosomal RNA". It matches the Rfam family "Bacterial small subunit ribosomal RNA", at positions 524 to 776 of the family's 1533-position model. The record is from RNAcentral.
UACAGAGGGGGCAAGCGUUGUUCGGAAUUACUGGGCGUAAAGGGCGCGUAGGCGGCCUGUUAAGUCGAACGUGAAAUCCCCGGGCUCAACCCGGGAACUGCGUCCGAAACUGGCAGGCUCGAAUCCGGGAGAGGGAUGCGGAAUUCCAGGUGUAGCGGUGAAAUGCGUAGAUAUCGGGAGGAACAUCAGUGGCGAAGGCGGCCUUCUGGUCCAGUACUGACACUCAAGUGCGAAAGCGUGGGGAGCAAACAGG